CCUCGGUGGCUGCAGUGGGGAAUAUUGGACAAUGGGCGAAAGCCUGAUCCAGCCAUGCCGCGUGUGUGAAGAAGGCCUUCGGGUUGUAAAGCACUUUCAGUGGGGAAGAAAGCCUUGGGGCUAAUACCCUCGAGGAAGGACAUCACCCACAGAAGAAGCACCGGCUAACUCCGUGCCAGCAGCCGCGGUAAUACGGAGGGUGCGAGCGUUAAUCGGAAUUACUGGGCGUAAAGCGCGCGUAGGCGGUCUGAUAAGCCGGUUGUGAAAGCCCCGGGCUCAACCUGGGAACGGCAUCCGGAACUGUCAGGCUAGAGUGCAGGAGAGGAAGGGAGAAUUCCCGGUGUAGCGGUGAAAUGCGUAGAGAUCGGGAGGAAUACCAGUGGCGAAGGCGGCCUUCUGGACUGACACUGACGCUGAGGUGCGAAAGCGUGGGUAGCAAACAGGAUUAGAUACCCCGGUAGUC
RNAcentral lists this ribosomal RNA (463 nucleotides) under Vreelandella stevensii. RNAcentral describes it as "partial 16S ribosomal RNA". It matches the Rfam family "Bacterial small subunit ribosomal RNA", at positions 338 to 795 of the family's 1533-position model. The record is from RNAcentral. Lineage: Bacteria; Pseudomonadati; Pseudomonadota; Gammaproteobacteria; Oceanospirillales; Halomonadaceae.